This 404-nucleotide ribosomal RNA is filed under the name uncultured bacterium. RNAcentral's name for it is "bacterial SSU rRNA". It matches the Rfam family "Bacterial small subunit ribosomal RNA", at positions 355 to 775 of the family's 1533-position model. The record is from RNAcentral.
UAGGGAAUAUUGCAAAAUGGGCGAAAGCCCGAUGCAGCAACGCCGCGUGGGCGAUGAAGGCCUUCGGGUCGUAAAGCCCUUUUUGAGGGGAUGAGGAAGGACAGUACCCUCAGAAUAAGCCUCGGCUAACUACGUGCCAGCAGCCGCGGUAAAACGUAGGAGGCGAGCGUUAUCCGGAUUUACUGGGCGUAAAGCGCGUGCAGGCGGAUUGGAGAGUUGGAUGUGAAAGCUCCCGGCUUAACUGGGAGAGGUCGUUCAAUACUUCCAGUCUUGAGUGCAGUAGAGGGAAGUGGAAUUCCGGGUGUAGUGGUGAAAUGCGUAGAUAUCCGGAGGAACACCAGUGGCGAAAGCGGCUUCCUGGACUGUAACUGACGCUCAGACGCGAAAGCUAUGGUAGCAAACGG